This 386-nucleotide ribosomal RNA is filed under the name uncultured bacterium. RNAcentral describes it as "bacterial SSU rRNA". It matches the Rfam family "Bacterial small subunit ribosomal RNA", at positions 370 to 772 of the family's 1533-position model. The record is from RNAcentral.
AAUGGGGGAAACCCUGAUGUAGCAACGCCGCGUGGAGGAUGACGGAUCUAGGUCUGUAAACUCCUUUUAUAAGGGAAGAAAUUUGACGGUACCUUAUGAAUAAGCACCGGCUAACUCCGUGCCAGCAGCCGCGGUAAUACGGGGGGUGCAAGCGUUACUCGGAAUCACUGGGCGUAAAGGGAGCGUAGGCGUUUUAUUAAGUCUUGAGUGAAAGCUCGCAGCUCAACUGCGGAACUGCUCAGGAAACUGAUAGAAUUGAGUAUGGAAGAGGUAGGUGGAAUUUCCGGUGUAGGGGUAAAAUCCGUAGAUAUCGGAAGGAAUACCAGAAGCGAAGGCGACCUACUGGGACAUUACUGACGCUGAGGCUCGAAAGCGUGGGGAGCAAA